This 72-nucleotide transfer RNA is filed under the name Acholeplasma oculi. It matches the Rfam family "tRNA". Rfam says of the family: Transfer RNA (tRNA) molecules are approximately 80 nucleotides in length. The record is from Rfam by way of RNAcentral. Lineage: Bacteria; Bacillati; Mycoplasmatota; Mollicutes; Acholeplasmatales; Acholeplasmataceae.
GUCGGUGUAGUAUAAUGGUUAUUACACGUCCUUGCCAAGGAUGAAACGAGGGUCCGAUUCCCUUCACCGGCU